RNAcentral lists this ribosomal RNA (444 nucleotides) under uncultured bacterium. RNAcentral's name for it is "partial 16S ribosomal RNA". It matches the Rfam family "Bacterial small subunit ribosomal RNA", at positions 338 to 795 of the family's 1533-position model. The record is from RNAcentral.
CCUACGGGUGGCUGCAGUGGGGAAUAUUGGGCAAUGGACGAAACUCUGACCCAGCAACGCCGCGUGAAUGAAGAAGGUCUUCGGAUUGUAAAGUUCUUUAGUCAGGGAAGAAUAAAAUGACGGUACCUGAAGAAUAAGCGUCGGCUAACUACGUGCCAGCAGCCGCGGUAAUACGUAGGGAGCAAGCGUUGUUCGGAAUGACUGGGUGUAAAGGGUGCGUAGGCGGAUAUAGAAGUUAGAGCUGAAAUACUCAGGGCUUAACUCUGUUGCUGCUUUUAAAACUGUAAGUCUUGAGUGCGGUAGAGGUUUGCGGAAUUCCUGGUGUAGCGGUGAAAUGCGUAGAUAUUAGGAAGAACACCAAAGGCGAAGGCAGCUAACUGGCCUGCAACUGACGCUGAUGCACGAAAGUGUGGGUAUCAAACAGGAUUAGAUACCCGGGUAGUC